Peromyscus eremicus (cactus mouse) is the source of this 166-nucleotide long non-coding RNA. RefSeq lists it as uncharacterized. The transcript has 2 exons. NCBI's taxonomy places the organism in Eukaryota, Metazoa, Chordata, Mammalia, Rodentia, Cricetidae. The record is from RefSeq and is a predicted model, not a curated record.
GAAUUCUCACAUGACUCCAUUCUUGGACCAUGUUCCAAUAGUAUGAGCACGGGAGAGAAGAAGAAUAUUUCUCCACAUAAACUCUGCUGCCUUUUAAAAUAUGAACACUAGUUUUCUUUAACUGCUGAGUCACUGGUGAAUAGAAACUGAUUUUAGUGUUUUCAAA